This 380-nucleotide ribosomal RNA is filed under the name uncultured bacterium. Its description in RNAcentral is "bacterial SSU rRNA". It matches the Rfam family "Bacterial small subunit ribosomal RNA", at positions 29 to 432 of the family's 1533-position model. The record is from RNAcentral.
AACGAACGCUGGCGGCAGGCCUAACACAUGCAAGUCGAGCGCUCGUAGCAAUACGAGAGUGGCAGACGGGUGAGUAACACGUGGGAACCUUCCCUAUGGUUCGGAAUAGCUCAGGGAAACUUGGGGGUAAUACCGGAUAAGCCCUUCGGGGGAAGGAUUUAUCGCCAUUGGAUGGGCCCGCGUAGGAUUAGCUAGUUGGUGAGGUAAAGGCUCACCAAGGCGACGAUCCUUAGCUGGUCNGAGAGGAUGAUCAGCCACACUGGGACUGAGACACGGCCCAGACUCCUACGGGAGGCAGCAGUGGGGAAUAUUGGACAAUGGGCGCAAGCCUGAUCCAGCCAUGCCGCGUGCAGGAAGAAAGCCUUCUGGGUUGUAAACUG